Molecule: ribosomal RNA, 710 nt
Filed under: Pseudomonas sp. SN31
Lineage: Bacteria; Pseudomonadati; Pseudomonadota; Gammaproteobacteria; Pseudomonadales; Pseudomonadaceae
Description: bacterial SSU rRNA
Rfam family: Bacterial small subunit ribosomal RNA
Source: RNAcentral
GUCGAGCGGAUGAGAGGAGCUUGCUCCUUGAUUUAGCGGCGGACGGGUGAGUAAUGCCUAGGAAUCUGCCUGGUAGUGGGGGAUAACGUUCCGAAAGGAACGCUAAUACCGCAUACGUCCUACGGGAGAAAGCAGGGGACCUUCGGGCCUUGCGCUAUCAGAUGAGCCUAGGUCGGAUUAGCUAGUUGGUGAGGUAAUGGCUCACCAAGGCGACGAUCCGUAACUGGUCUGAGAGGAUGAUCAGUCACACUGGAACUGAGACACGGUCCAGACUCCUACGGGAGGCAGCAGUGGGGAAUAUUGGACAAUGGGCGAAAGCCUGAUCCAGCCAUGCCGCGUGUGUGAAGAAGGUCUUCGGAUUGUAAAGCACUUUAAGUUGGGAGGAAGGGCAUUAACCUAAUACGUUAGUGUUUUGACGUUACCGACAGAAUAAGCACCGGCUAACUUCGUGCCAGCAGCCGCGGUAAUACGAAGGGUGCAAGCGUUAAUCGGAAUUACUGGGCGUAAAGCGCGCGUAGGUGGUUCGUUAAGUUGGAUGUGAAAGCCCCGGGCUCAACCUGGGAACUGCAUCCAAAACUGGCGAGCUAGAGUACGGUAGAGGGUGGUGGAAUUUCCUGUGUAGCGGUGAAAUGCGUAGAUAUAGGAAGGAACACCAGUGGCGAAGGCGACCACCUGGACUGAUACUGACACUGAGGUGCGAAAGCGUGGGG